This 112-nucleotide ribosomal RNA is filed under the name Caerostris darwini. Lineage: Eukaryota; Metazoa; Arthropoda; Arachnida; Araneae; Araneidae. The record is from RNAcentral.
AACGGCCGUACCAUGCUGAAUAUACCGGUUCUCGUUAGAUCACCGAAGUCAAGCAUCACUGGGCGCGGUCAGUACUUGGGUGGGUGACCACCUGGGAACACCGCGUGCCGUU